CUUGCAUGCACAUGAGUCCUCUCUCCCUCUCUGAAAAUAUACUUUAGCUUUAAUAAAUUUGUAAGACAUCUGCCAUUCCAAUGCUUUGUUAUGGAGAGACGGGGACCGAGAAAACUGUGAUGGUAUCAGAUCGAAUAUGACCUAAGUUCAAAUCCUACAGAAAAUACUCAUUUUGUAUAUUCAGGCAUGACUACUCCAUGGAGAUCCCAUUUCCUGGGCCAUAAAAUGGGAUGGUUGUUUAUAUUUACAGAGCUUUAAGAUGGUAUCUUGAUAUUUUGGGCAUUCAAAUUUAUGCAAGUUGAUAUGGAAACACAACCAUUUUAAAGCCAAAUUAAUACUGCCAGGACCAUAAGAUUAUAUUGAAGACCAAAAUACUAAACUUUUGUGUUCAUGUGUGUGCGUGAGAGAGAAAUCUUCCCAUGAGGUUCCAACUUCCUGCUAGAGCACUUGCAAAGCACCACUAUUCACAUGAAGUAUUCUACUCAAUCCACUUUAGAUGGCUAAAAUGCAGUAACAAGGAAAAGAUUUAUCCUCCCACUGGAGCAAACUAUAUGAAGUAGAAAAAUAUUGCUCAUCAGACAACAAAUAAAGGACAGUGAGCCCUGAACAUGGACAAAUAUGGUGAGCCCUUGAAAUACUCCAGUUUACUGUACUGAGAGAAUUUUCACGUUUCACUGCAGGGACAGGAAACCUGGAGGAGCCUGGCUGACUCCCAAGGUGGCCAUAGUUCUCAAAACAGAGUGCUAGAGAAAUAAGAUAAUUCAAUUUUUGAUAAAAAAUGAUUACAAUAUAGUAUGAGGUUUAUAAAUAGCCAAGGUAAAAUGUAUGGCAAUAAGAGCACAAUGGUUGGAAGAGAAGAAACGGAAGUAUACAAUUUAAAGUUCUUUUUCUCACUGUGAAGUGGCAUAGUAUCAUUACAAGUGCAUUGUGAUGUUAAAGAUGCAAACUACAAACCCUAAAGCAAUCACUGUCAGGAUAACAAAGAGCAAUUGACAACUGGUCAAAAACAGGAAAAAACAGAUUCAUAAAAAUAUUCAAUCUUAAAGCACAAAAAAUGGGGAACCAAUUAAAUAGAAAGCAAAUAGAAACAUGAUAACUCAAAGGUAAUCAAAUCAACAGUCGCAUUACAUAGGAAUAAUUAAAAAGUAAAGAUUUCCCCCAAUUAAAAGACAAAGAUUGUCAUUUAGAAAAAAAAAAAAAAAAAGAGGAUUUUACGUCUUGGUGCAGUGGUUAACAAAUCUGACUAGGAACCAUGGAGUUGCAGGUUCAAUCCCUGGCCUUGCUCAGUGGGCCAGGGAUCAAACCUGCAUCCUCAUGGAUACUAGUUAUAACCCACUGAGCACAAUGGGAACUCCCAGGGUUUUUAAUUUUUUGCAGAGGUUCCCAGCUAGGCAUUGAACCUGCACCACAGCAGCCACCGAAGCCACUUCAGUGACAAUGCAGAUAUCCUUAACCUGCUGCACCAGAGGAGAACUCACAGAAGACUGGUUAUUUUAAAUACCCAUUGUGCUUUAAAUAAUAAUUAAGGAGCUUUAAAAAUCCAUUUGCUUACUUUGGUAAUCUCUAAUUACUUUCAGUUUUCAUAAUACUCAUUUGCAGAAAGGAAUUACUUUCAGUGAAAAUUCUGAGUUUACAACUGUUAAAGCACACAAAUCCUAAAGAGUGUUUAUUUCAAUAAACAAAGAUUCAAACAUAAAAUUGUGACCUAAAUUAUCAAACUUAAAUGCAAAUAAUGUUAAUAAGCCUACAGUCACAAGUAAAUGAUAGCAGUGUAAAAAAGUGGAUAUAGAUAGCUAAGAUCUAGAAAGCUUUCAUACAUGGAUGCAUAGUUCUCCUGGGAGAGAAAAGUGAAUUUCUCAAGAUCAGGCCAUUUUUCAUAGUUGUUUUCAUUAAACUAUAUAAUAGACUUUCCUAGAGUUAAGAGAAAAAAUAUAUGUAUACACCUAAGGUACAUCCAAAGUUAAGCCGAGAAUACAAACAACAUGAAGAAACCUGUCCUAAAGUAUUCACUUUUUUCAAUUAUCUAGAUAUUCUGAGGAAGAAUGAAUUUACAUUGGCUUUUUUCUAAACAAUUACUUUCAUUUUCACUAUGCUAAUAGAAAAUUGAUUAUAUUAGGACAAGUAGAUUACUGAAUAAUUUUAUGAGUUAACAUGGGAAAUUAGAUGGCAUGUCAUGUACCUUGGUGGUGACAGUUAAUCCUUUUUGAAGAUAAGUUAUGCUGUAUAUAAUUUUUUUAAUGGAAUGGCACAUAUUCCCAAUGGAAACUAGAAAUUUUCAAUCGAACUUAACUAUCAGAGCUUAACAUAUUAAUGAACCAUACCAAAAAGUUUUCUGCAAUGGACAAUAAUGUUAUUCACCUCUCAAUCUACAAUGGUAUGUUAGUAAAAUGUUUUUAUUCCAAAAAAGAGAACCAUGAAUUUGCUAGCUGGCAUGUCUAAAAAUUUCUGGUUCAAAUUAGCCUAAAACCACCAUGAUUUUUUUCUUUAAUGUAUUUAUUUAAAGGAAUUUAUUAAGAUGACCAAACUAAUUUGGCUGAUGAAUGGCCAACAGAAAAUGAAUCCAUGCAAACAUCUAAAUGGCCAGCUUUUUGUAGUCAUGAUUCAGGAAGAAAAUUGGUAUUAUUUGAUGUACCUAACAAGACAAUUACAGAAUUUAUUGAACUAAUGCAAGUAAAGUUUCUAUGUCACAGUACAUGGUGAAGAGUAGAUGCUUAAAAAACACUAGUUUCCUUAUUUUUUCUAUGAAAAUUCAAAAUUUGUAUUGUAUAUAUGAAAUAAAAUGAUAGAUAUAUUGAUAUUUUUGCAAGAAAGGGUAUAUUUUGGUAAAUAAAUAAAAUACAUUUUAUUUAUAUGUGUGUUAUUAAACACAAAGAAUGCUAUAUAUAUAACAAUUUUCAACAAAAAUUAUAUAAUCAUCAUUGAACUUCUUUCAAAGGAGAUUUCUGAUGAAUAUCUUUGGAACUUUCAGCUAUAGAAAAUUCAGUGUGUUCACUCAGUUCUAAAUGGAAGAGUUAAAGUUCAUAUCUGUAACAAUGUCCUUUAAUUAAAUAUACAUACUAAUUAAGCAUAUCAUGCAUAAAAAAUUAAAAUGAAUAAACAUAUGGAUAUUUCAUAUAUGUCUCCAGGGAUACUAGCACUGUUGGCAUAUCUUAGUGCAUAUGAUUGAGAAAGUUAAUAUUAAUUGUUAAUAAAAAUACAUGUUCUGUUUUGUAAUAUAUUUUGCACUUUUUACUCAGUGAAGUAGAACCUUCUUCCAUUACGUAAACGCUUUC
This 3272-nucleotide long non-coding RNA is filed under the name Sus scrofa (pig). RNAcentral's name for it is "lncRNA (ENSSSCG00035021017.1, ENSSSCG00065020461.1)". Lineage: Eukaryota; Metazoa; Chordata; Mammalia; Artiodactyla; Suidae. The record is from RNAcentral.